This is a long non-coding RNA of Homo sapiens (human), 572 nucleotides long. RefSeq lists it as uncharacterized. The transcript is spliced from 3 exons. Lineage: Eukaryota; Metazoa; Chordata; Mammalia; Primates; Hominidae. The record is from RefSeq and is marked validated.
AGAUGGAGCCGCCCACCGCCGUCAUGGCCACCACGAUGUCCUGCAUGCCGGCCGGCUCGGCGGUGAACUCCACGCACUCGGCCGGCUCGGGGGUCUCUGGCGCGGCGGCGGCGGGCCCAGCGCGCAGCGGCAGCGGCUGCAGGCACAGGCGGUAGAGGACGCUGUCGUGCACGUCGGGCAGCAGGACGGACAGCGCCCACCCGGAGGAAAGCCUGACAGAUGAGACUUCGCAAGGAACCUGCCAGUUCAGGGAGGCCCACCUUUCUAGAAGGUUAACAGGAACUUCCAGCCUCCAGCCUACUUAGUGACCAGCUGCUGGAGGACAGUGAGUGGCCCCUGCUGUCCGCAUCUCCACAGGGGUCACCAAGCGCACUCACAGGGUCCCCCUCCACCUGGAGCAGAGAAUUCGGAGGAGCCCGUCUUGCUGUCUUUUCUGAUGUUGUUAAACUAUGCUUGGGCCUGUCCUUUGCUGAAAGGAGCUUUCUACACAGCUGGACUUCUGAGGUGGGACCUGCCACGUGCUAACUCUGGCACUCGGAGCGGUCUCUGCCACUGGCAAUGUCCUGUCCUGA